GUGCACACGCUCUGGUACCGGGAGGGAGGCGCCAUCGCUUCAUGUUUGGGGAGGUGAUCGGAGGGGGACGGCGGGGGAAGCGCGAGGUCGAGGUUGUGGUGGCGGCGGGGCGCUGGAUGCGGUUCGGGCUUGUGGAGUUAUUACAGAAGAGACAAGUAGCAUGAGGCCUGGAGGUUGCCUAACGGAACCUGAAAUUCCAAUUAGAUUAUUGCAGACAGUGCAUCUGAUGAAGAUACAAGGGUGUUUGUGCAAUUCUUGCUGACAGUUUAUGUCAAUUCUCCUUCAGUCAGCUGAUGGAUAAAAAUAGAGAUCAAUUCUGGCAACAUGGAGUGUCUUUCUGUAAUAGCUUCCCUCUGCUAUUCUUUGCUCAGUGAAUGCCAUCGUAAUUGUUUAUGAGUUAGUGCUGGAUCAUAUUAUUUUGGGGAUGAACUUCUCAAGUCCUGCUCUUACAGAGUAAACUCAUCUUUCAACUUGGAUUCUGGAAGAACACAUCAAUGUGAACAAGACUUCAUUUGAGGAUGGUCUGGUGACCAAGUUUCUGCUGUUGCUUCUACUUAUCAACAGAUCAUCAACCCUGGUAUUUCUUCUCAAUAUAAAAGCUUGGAAUUAAUUUGCUCCAAAUAAGGCCAAAGAGCUGACUUGGCUGGUGGUGAAAAAUAGAAUCAACUCCAUAGUCAAGUUAAGAUAAAUGGUUCAUCUCCAGAAUGAAAAUAAUGUAUUGUGCACAGAUGCAGUUUUUGAAACAAAUCGAGAAGUCAUUAUUUUUUGGCAAUGAAUAGCUAUCCUGGAACUUUAAAGUCUUUCAAAAAGGUGGCAAAGUUGGGAAAUUCCUUAUGUCUAGCUUGGGUAAUCAUUUAGAAAGCAAACCCUGGUAUAUAUUCCGGGGAUGAAUAGUGGAAUUCUGAUAAGCUCUUUACAUCUUGAAUAGAAUGUAUUAUGUUUUAGAGCCUUAGAAGUAACUCACUGGACGAAAUAUGAUUAGAAGAAUGCUCAUGGAGCUUCGGUGAAGCUUCAAUGGAGUUAUCUGUUUCUUCUUUUGAACAUGGAAUUCUGAUUGUCUCUUAGUUUUGUUGGAGGCAGCAUUGCUUUUGAGAUGGUAGAAACUCUCUGAAUUAUUAGAACUCCUGCUUUCUUUUUCUAAUAUACCAAGUCAACUAUUGUUCGCUAGAAUUUUUUUACAAAAAAAUAAUAAAAAAGGAAAGUAGUUAGUGCUAACAUGCAUUUGAAAAUUUUAAUAGCUUGUGGAGCAUUGCUUUCAAUCUCUUGUGGUAAUUUCUGGGAUCACCCUUCACAUCCACCAGGUCUCCAUAAUCUCAUCAUUCAAGAAUUUUGAUAGUACCCAAUUGAAUCUUAUGUUUGUGACCAUCUGAAUGUAUAAAAAUGUAGGAUUGGUGAUUGAAACUUGAUAUUGUUUUUUUUUUUUUCCUUUCUGUUCUCUAUAGCGGUUUUGAUACCCUAACCAUAAAUUGUUAGCUGAAUUAUCGAAUAUCGACCUGUAUGCCUUUCAUCUAUGUCUAAUACUAAUAAUUUCUAGUCUUUGCUUGAUUUGUUGUCCAAUUUCCUACCUAUUCUCUGAGAUAUCAUUGCAUUACACGUUGAAAUAAAACUAUGCCUUCACAAACUGUAGAUUUUAUUUACUUUUCUUUUUUUAUCUCAGCAUUUGAUUGAUAUGUUGCAAACACUACUAUCAUUUAGUUAUUGUUUGUUGAAUAAGAUUCUAAAGAACUCUCUGUUUGGUCUAUAUGAUACAUUAAUUCCACAGAAGAAUGAUAUUUAUUUGCUUCAGAACAAACUUCUGCUUUGAAUUAUAUAUGAUUCCGAUAGCUCGAGUAUGGAAAUUAUAUCAUGCGAGCUGGAGAACUAUAGAACUCCUAGAUUUUAUUAUCUAACAAAGCAUUUUGCAGAAAUCACUGGAAAAAAGUGCAGUCUGUAAAAUUGUCACAUGGUUCAGUCUCAGAUUUUGAUUGGCAUUACCAAUUUGAAAGAUGCAUCUCACCCUGCUCCAUCAGAUGAUCUUUGAUGUCACGAAGGUAUGUGUUCCUGUUCCAUUCCAUGAAAACAAAUUGAGGUUGCUUCAAUUAAAACGAAAGGUACAUCCUUACAUUCAAACCCGCACGACAAUACAUGCUUUCUUAAUCAAACUGAUCGAAAUAAUGAAUGUAUGCAAACAUUGAAAUUAACAUCUAACAUGGAUAAACUCUCUGAUAUGUUCUCAGAACUUGGCCUGAAUUUUAUCAAUUGUCUCCUUGCUUACUUGGAAGGCCUUUGCAAGUACAUCAUCAAGGAUUGGCGGUGUCGAUCCAAAGACAGCAUUGGCAACAGUGAUAACACCAGGGUUUUGGCUGCUGAGCCCGGCAAUGGCCACGGCACUGGCAGCCCAGUUGUUGUAUUGAUAGUGUAUGAGGCCUUGAGGGAACACAUACACAUCUCCCUUGUUAAGAACCUUGGUGUAGUGCUUGUUCUCAGGGUUUGAGGUUACAAAGCCGACAAGGAUAGUGCCUUCCAACACCACAAGGACCUCAGUGGCACGCGGGUGGGUGUGUGGUGGAUUGAGUCCAAAGGGAGCAUAGUCGAUGCGGACUAAGGAGAUGCCGUAUGUAUUCAACCCAGGAAUCUGAACCACAUUGACAGGGGUCACCUUGGAACCAACCGCAUUCGAAGUGUUACCAGCCUUGUCAAGGCCACUGAAGAAGAAAUCAUCAACGGUGACCCUCUUCGAGUCCUUACAUGGGAGGCCAUUAACCAAAGCUGCACGAGAUGAUAUGCAUUAGUGACUCAAUAUAUUUGGAUUCGACAAAUGCAUGAUAAUCACCUGUCGAAUUCUCAUCGGCAACACAAAAAUCUUGGAGCUGGCCGGGAUCAGAAGCCAUGGCAGUUAUGGAGGCCAAGGCAAUGAGGGCGACGGAGAUGAUGUAGCUCGCCAUCUCUCUACUCUCUCUUGCCUAGUAAGAGACACUGCUUACUAAUGGAUGAGUUAAAGAGUAUUUAUAGAUUUUUUGAACUGUUCAUCUCUUCAGCAACUCCGGACGGCACAGAUCCUCCUCAAAUUGUUUAUGGAAUUAUAGAGUGAAUUAGACUUGCUCCAACUGUUGUAUUAUCAUGGACGUUGUCCGGCAAUGGCCAAGUCUUGAUGAGUUGCGGGGGAGAAAUUCAUUGAUUUUAUUUUCAUGCCGUGGGUUCUUGCCAUGUGUAAGAGUUGAGUACCAACCUUGUAUUAUUUUAAUAUGAUAUGCCCGGCCCAGCAAGGAAGUUAACAGGCUGAGUGUUUGGCCCGGCCCA
This is a long non-coding RNA of Zingiber officinale, 3279 nucleotides long. RefSeq lists it as uncharacterized. The record is from RefSeq and is a predicted model, not a curated record. The transcript has 3 exons. NCBI's taxonomy places the organism in Eukaryota, Viridiplantae, Streptophyta, Magnoliopsida, Zingiberales, Zingiberaceae.